Molecule: ribosomal RNA, 481 nt
Filed under: uncultured bacterium
Lineage: Bacteria
Description: partial 16S ribosomal RNA
Rfam family: Bacterial small subunit ribosomal RNA
Source: RNAcentral
GACGAACGCUGGCGGCGUGCUUAACACAUGCAAGUCGAACGGUGAAAGGGAGCUUGCUCCCUGGAUCAGUGGCGAACGGGUGAGUAACACGUGGGCAACCUGCCCCAGACUUCGGGAUAACGCUUCGAAAGGAGUGCUAAUACCGGAUACGAACUCCUUGGGCAUCCUUGGGGUUGGAAAGUUUUUCGGUCUGGGAUGGGCCCGCGGCCUAUCAGCUUGUUGGUGAGGUAACGGCUCACCAAGGCGACGACGGGUAGCCGGCCUGAGAGGGCGACCGGCCACACUGGGACUGAGACACGGCCCAGACUCCUACGGGAGGCAGCAGUGGGGAAUAUUGCGCAAUGGGCGAAAGCCUGACGCAGCAACGCCGCGUGAGGGAUGACGGCCUUCGGGUUGUAAACCUCUUUCAGCAGGGAAGAAGCGAAAGUGACGGUACCUGCAGAAGAAGCACCGGCUAACUACGUGCCAGCCGCCGCAGUAA